RNAcentral lists this ribosomal RNA (408 nucleotides) under uncultured bacterium. Its description in RNAcentral is "partial 16S ribosomal RNA". It matches the Rfam family "Bacterial small subunit ribosomal RNA", at positions 28 to 526 of the family's 1533-position model. The record is from RNAcentral.
GACGAACGCUGGCGGCGUGCUUAACACAUGCAAGUCGAACGAAGAGGCGAACGGGUGAGUAACGCGUAAUCAACCUGCCCUUCAGAGGGGGACAACAGUAGGAAAAGGCUGCUAAUACCGCAUACUGAAGGAAGGGGUUGCGGCUGAUUCGCUAGUUGGAGGGGUACCGGCCCACCAAGGCGAUGAUCAGUAGCCGGUCUGUGAGGGUGAACGGCCCCAUUGUGACUGAGACACGGCCCAGACUCCUUCGGGAGGCAGCAGGUGGGAAUCUUCCGCAAUGGACGAAAGUCUGACGGAGCAACGCCGCGUGAGUGAUGACGGCCUUCGGGUUGUAAAGCUCUGUUAAUCGGGACGCGGUACCGGAAGAGAAAGCCCCGGCUAACUACGUGCCAGCAGCCGCGGUAAUUC